This 497-nucleotide ribosomal RNA is filed under the name uncultured bacterium. RNAcentral describes it as "partial 16S ribosomal RNA". It matches the Rfam family "Bacterial small subunit ribosomal RNA", at positions 28 to 507 of the family's 1533-position model. The record is from RNAcentral.
GAUGAACGCUGGCGGCGUGCCUAAUACAUGCAAGUCGAGCGAACAGACGCGGCGCUUGCUCCUUUGACGUUAGCGGCGGACGGGUGAGUCACACGUGGAUCACCUACCUAUCAGACUGGGAUCACCUCGGGACACCGGAGCUAAUACCGGAUAAUCUCUUGAUCCGCAUGGUUCAAUGGUGAAAGACAGCUUUGCUGUCACUUAUAGCUGGAUCCGCGCCGCAUUAGCUAGUUGGUAAGGUAACGGGUUACCAAGGGAACGAUGCGUUGCCGACUUGCUUGGGGGAUCGGCCACACUGGAGCGGGAACGCGGUCAAGACUCCUACGGGAGGGACCAGAAGGGAAUCGUCCGCAGUAGGCGAGAGCCUGACGGAGCAACGCCGCGUGAGUUGUAAAAGUCCUCGGAGCGUAAAGCUCGGUUAUGAGGUAAGAACAAAUGUGGAAGGAGCUAAACACGUCGUGACGGUACCGAGUCAAAAAGCCACGGCUAACUACGUG